UAGGGAAUCUUCCACAAUGGACGCAAGUCUGAUGGAGCAACGCCGCGUGAGUGAAGAAGGGUUUCGGCUCGUAAAGCUCUGUUGGUAGUGAAGAAAGAUAGAGGUAGUAACUGGCCUUUAUUUGACGGUAAUUACUUAGAAAGUCACGGCUAACUACGUGCCAGCAGCCGCGGUAAUACGUAGGUGGCAAGCGUUGUCCGGAUUUAUUGGGCGUAAAGCGAGUGCAGGCGGUUCAAUAAGUCUGAUGUGAAAGCCUUCGGCUCAACCGGAGAAUUGCAUCAGAAACUGUUGAACUUGAGUGCAGAAGAGGAGAGUGGAACUCCAUGUGUAGCGGUGGAAUGCGUAGAUAUAUGGAAGAACACCAGUGGCGAAGGCAGCUCUCUGGUCUGCAACUGACGCUGAGGCUCGAAAGCAUGGGUAGCGAACAGGAUUAGAUACCCUGGUAGUCCAUGCCGUAAACGAUGAGUGCUAAGUGUUGGGAGGUUUCCGCCUCUCAGUGCUGCAGCUAACGCAUUAAGCACUCCGCCUGGGGAGUACGACCGCAAGGUUG
This 550-nucleotide ribosomal RNA is filed under the name uncultured bacterium. RNAcentral describes it as "bacterial SSU rRNA". It matches the Rfam family "Bacterial small subunit ribosomal RNA", at positions 355 to 896 of the family's 1533-position model. The record is from RNAcentral.